GUUAUUUAUUCCUGCCCUGUAAUUAGGCUCGCCUGCUAAAAAAAAAGUCGAUUUGUUUACCCCGAUGUUUCUUUCUCAUUAUGUCUGGAAUACAUCCCCGUGAGAAUUACUCUGCAUGCAGCCUACGGAGCAGAGAGGUAACCGGGUUGUUUUCUGCAGUGAUGGAUAGUUCUUGCUUUGUUCUUCAGAGGAAAUAACGCUCACUUUUUUUUCCUGUAUGGGUAUCAGUCAUGGAGCAAGAGCACAGUCAUUUGCAUGGACUGUAAAUUUAUUACCUGUGUCUGAACUGUGAACAGUAUCCAGGUGUACAUGAUGGGUGUAAUUCACAUUUUGAAUUUGCAAAUUGCAUUCAAAUUUUCAAACAUUGCUACACUGGGAACUUCAUUUCCAUUAACUCAUAACGUCAGUCAAAUCAGAAAUGAAAAAAUCUGCAGCUGAGCAUUUGGAAAAACGGACAUCGGUCUUUGCUUCAGUUAAAAAUGAAUCAUGUAGUGUUGUUUCAAAGGGUACAGUUAAGUAUAAGUAGAACAGUUGUAUUAAUGUUCAGUUUGGUCAUCUUUCAACAUGAUUAAGAAUCCACUUCCAUGGUAGCAGAUUUAUAAAGCUGUAUUUAACCACAGCACUGCUCUGAGCUACAUUUCUCAGUAGGACAAUUAUGCUAAACUAACAUUGAUCAACUGAUCAUGGUGCAGCAAUGAAAAACUAACCAGAGUCAUUUUGCUGAAUGAAAUAUGGAUACCUAAAUGAUAAUCUGAUUUUCUUAAAUUUAUUCAAUAGUUGUAGAGAUGUUUCACUAAACAACCUCAGCCACAAGAGGAAAAGGGGAGAAAUCACUUCCCAUUAAAUCUGGUUUAUAAGACACAAGUUUCACACUUGAGACCUUGGUGGUGACUUUUUUCUAAGUGCUAAAAACUGCAGUUCCUCACGUGACCACUUGAGGCUGGCUGCAAAAGUACCAGAAGCCACAUACACACCCAUUCUGUAAAACAUCUCUACUGUAUAAGAAACAAACCUUGCUAGAGUGGGGAGUGGGGGGCACACUGUGGCUGCUUGCAAGCUUAAUCCCAUCGCUUUGACUCAAGCUAGAUUGAUAUUCUGGAGUUUACGGUCAUAAAUUGGGAUCCCUCACUUGGGGACCAUGACUCUCUGGUUUGGGUUACAAAUUAUCUGGUGUUAGUCUGUCUUUUUCUGAAUGUAAAAAGCAGGGACAGACAGUACAAUCAUCAAUUAUGCCCAUCUGAACUCUGACAUGGUUGCUUUAAUGAUUUAACAGUUAAAUCCAUGAGCUACAGGACAAUUUGAACCUAUCUGGUGAGAGAUACACUUGUUUUCAGUCAGUAAUUAUCAAUGAUUAACAAGGAUUUGUUAGAAUUCAUUCACACACAAAACACAAUCAUUUUCCAAAGCCAUGAGCCUGUGAGCAAAUUAGGGUGCUUGAAUGCGGGGUUCAUAAGGCUAAAUAACAGAACGGUUAAUCCUACUGUAUUGUAGCUCAUAUUAAAUGGAUAUGAGGGAGAGGGGUCAGAGAAAUCAAUGAGGCUAAUGCACGGGUCAGUGUGUUAAAGUCUGUCAAUACAGCAUGAAUAACUGAAACCAAACAGCCAUCCUCACUUUCAGACUUUUUUUUUCAACAAACGCGAGGCAUUCAGAGGUGUAAAAAAAUAAAAAGUAGGCCAGUUCAUUUAAAGGUAUCAAGCCACAGAGAAAGAAACUAAAAAAAGGGUUAUUUUUGGUGUGUUUCUCGGUUCUAGCUCUCCAGUUUUUCUUCAGUGUCUGAUUCAAUAACAAUAAUAAAAAAAGGAAGUGAUAUACAGAUCACCAACUGUCUAGCGCUGGGAGGCCUUGCAUGAAAUCACACAUCUUGGAGCAGUGUUGCUCGCAGCUUGUCUCAGCAGGCUCCUUGUUAACAGGAUAGCGCCUCCAAAUCUGCUCCUGUAACACCUCCCAGCACGGGUCAUUACAGCAGAGAUCACUCCUGAUGCCCAAUCAGAUUGUAACACAAAGAAUUUCCGCCAGUCAUCAGGCAAAGCACAAUGGGACAAAUACUUAUAUGCAGUCAGUGAGCGGGCAUGAUAACAAUACCCUUAAAUAACAUGCAGACGGGCUGAGAGGGAAUUAGGAGGGGCUGGCUUGGCGCUCAGGCAGGCAUCAUUAUCACAUGGACCGCAGAUGAAUAGAUUUGGUGUGAUAGUAUGAACACACCCGAAUCCAUGUGUGACUGUGCAAUUACAGCACAUUUACUGCACCAGCUGCUGUAUAAAUCGAGGCGUGUGUGCAGCGUGGUGUGACAAACGCUCCCAGGAGAUGAGUGGUUGCUGGCUUUGAAGGUGAAAUAUAGCAGAAAUAUAUUCACACUUGAAGUUGUGUUAAGAGAAUAUUAAGUCACUGAUACGAUUGGACGAUACAGGAAUGUUAAAUGAGAUCAUAUCAGUCUAGUUAAUUCAGGAUGAAUGAAUCCCUGGACCACAGUGCGUUUAAAGACCUGUGAAUGUACUCUGUUUACACUCAAAUUCAAUUAUUAAACAUAACGUAGCCCCACUCAGUUAAGAUGAAACUACACACACAGCAACUCCUGAGUAAGCAACGAGGACUGAGCAAGAAAUAAAGGUUUGUAGUGGAGCUGUACUGGACUCACAGCUUUGCCAGUUGUCUGUUGAUAUCAGUAAACCCAUGUGAUGGACUGUUAACCUGCUCAGGGCGGACAGCAUAAUACUGUUCACCAAAUGAGGUGCAUUAGGCUCAGAUCCAUAAGCAAUGAGAAUACUGGGCAAACUAAAUGGAAAUAUCACAGACUUUAAAGUGUAAUAUUUGCAUAAAUACAGAACUGGAACACAAGCUAGGCUACAGUUUCCUGCAGACAAAGCAGGGUCCAGCACCUGAUGUAGUUCAUUUUAAAAAGGACUCUGACCCAAGCACUCAUCUCACUUAGGAUGCACAUUCCACUGAGACUGUUUUUCAGCGCUUAAUUCUACCAUUAGCAAGUCCAUUUGUUUUUGCACUAUGCGCACAUGUAACACAGAUGUGCUCUUCAGCAUGCAGCAAAAUCUAAUCAGGUCUAUGAUGUAUGACUCAGUGAUGUAUUGUAAACGUUGAAGCUCACUCUGAAACUCACUUUUGGGGAGUUGAUAUUGAUGAUUUAAAGCUUACGCCAAGCUGAUCUGGUGCCAGACAAAGAGAAGCUAGAAAUAAGGGGACACAAAGAUAAGUAAGGUGAUUAAAAGGAAAGCUGUCUGGAAAAGAUUAUGUUUAAUCCAAAAGUAAGCAACUGCUGCACUGGGCCUAUAACCCCUGGUUAGCAUAAGCUAUCUCAUACAAGCAGCUGCAAAGUGAGGGACAAUAUUUGGCUAUUGCUUCAAGCCUAACCUUCAUCCUAAAAUGGAUGGAGGGUUGGAUGAAUGGAUGAAUGCAUGAAUGGAUACACAGAUAAAGAGAUGUGCAGAUGAAUGCAUUUCUAUACUAUAUGACUGGUUAGAUGGGUGGAUGGAUGGAUGGAUAGAUGCUUGGAUAAAUACACAGACUGAUGGAUGCAUGGAUGAAGGUAAGCAAGGUUUGGUUGGUUGUUGAGAUAAACCCAUGGAUGGAUGGAUGCAUGAAUGAAUGCAUGGAUGGAUGCAUAGAUGAAAUUCAUGGAUUGAUGGAUAAACUCAGCAAUGGAUGGAUACAUGAAUGGUUGGAUGCAUGCUGAUAGAAAGGUGGAUGCAUCAAUAUCAGAUGGAUCCAUGGACAGAUGCAUACUUUAUGAAUGAAUGGAUGUUAAACGGAUAGACAGAUGCCUGAUGGGAUGGAUGGAUGAAGGGAACGAUGAAUGGAUGAGCCAGUUAUAAUCUAGCACUGAAUUCAGAGUACACUGGGGAAGUUUUGAGCAGCAGCACAAAGGCACAGUUUGUAGUUAGUCUGAGCCUGAAUCACUUUUUCUUUCAAAGUUGUCAUUACAUUUGAAAUGAUUAGUUUUAGUCUGAACACAGAUCAAAGAAAAUGAUCACCCACUAAAUAGGUUUGGUGAUGGUGGGAUUAUUUUUCAACAACAUCUCGUUUAAUUGCUCCCUGUAAAAGCUUAAUCUUUCCACUGGAAACGAUUUUAAUGUGGUUCUUCAGUUUUCACUUCAGAAACAGAUCUAAAUUUUUCCUUCACUGCUGAGCUCCUCUUUGUUCUUUUGCCACUUGACACGAGUCGGAGGUAAUUAUGUGCCUGUGAUGACAGGAAAUCAAGCCAACUGCUCUCUGAGCUCCCAGAGUGCCUCAUGGAAACUUUCUCCCUGCACUGUCACCAUGCCUGGAGUUUGCUCCGGUAGCCUCUCUUUCACUGCUGACAUCUUGUGAGACACUUGCAGUGAUGCUGCCAAUUAAGCUGUUCAUAACCCCAAGAUAGAGUAUUUGGCUUUUUAAGCUGGAUGCCAGAGUCACUUGAUGGAAAACGCAUUUUCUCUGAUGUAUUGAAGUCUUUUAGGAACAUUACUAUUCCUUCUGUGCACAGAACAAAGAUCCCUCCUUUGACUAAAAAACUCACUCCCCCAGCUUGAGGCGGCUCUUAUGAAGAGCAGAGGAGCAGUUUUGCAGAUUUAGGGAGUCGAAAUUCUUCAUUAUUGCAGGGACUUUUGGUUAUAGACAUAAACACUAGAUGGAGGGGAAAUGCUCCAAGACAAAACAGAUUAUACAUAAUCCUGGAGUGAUAUCUUUUUUUUCUAAAACUCUGCUCAAAAUGUAUGUUAGUGUUGAAUCUGAUAACCCUCACCAUAUGGUUGAAAUUUAGACUGGAUCAACGUGAGGAAAAGUGAGAACUUGAUUUUGCAUUUUUGACAGAUUUUUGUCAUUCUAACAACCUGAAAUAAUGACUUGAUAUACUAAUUUGAUGUCACCUGUCACCGUGUGUACUCCGGUUUCUCAAUAAAAUGUCUCAACAACUCAAACAAACACAAAACCAAGUGAUGCAUUCAUAAGCAUAAUUAUUAGAUCCUUUUGAUCUUUUUGGCUCUUCUACUGAGAAAAGACUGAUUGUAGUUUCUUUAUUCAAAACAACAACAACAACAACAAAACAAAAACUCAAAUCCUUGCAAGUGUUUUGUCUUAUUUCUAACAGAAAACACUUUAUUAAGCUUAAUUUAAGCCACAGUCACCCGACAAGUCCAGAAAAUGGCUUUUGGUCGAGAUAUACACUAGCAUGACAAAACUGUCCAGCAAAAGGGUAGGAUCAGUUUGAGAUGAUCUCAAAACUCCUUACAUUGUUUUAAAGAUAAGAUAAGAUAAGGUAAGAUGAGGUGAGAUUAGAUAAGAUAGAACGGUAUAACAAUAGAGGAAAUUGUUGCCUGAGUUACACAACAGAGUGUAAAAUUUAAUGACAGAUGAAUGUUUCAAGGUUGAGGGUUAAAUGGAAAAAAAGAUUUGCAGAUCCAAAAAUAAGAUUGUACUCGCAGUUUCCAGGGAAGAAUUAUGGGGUCUGAAUUCCCUGCAGGGAGGCUCCCUUAUAAACAUAAUACUUCACCUCAUUCUUCUCCUGAUACUGUGUAACUUUUCUGAAUGAGGUCAGUCAUUUGAGAUUUGGAAAUAUGAGCUUUUACAGCAACAAAGUUUAACUAACAAAGACCCAGAAAAAUCUGUGCCAAAACUGCCGCUGCACAGGUUACAAAACUAGACAAUACUUAACGUGCCAGAGGAAACAGUAAAAACCAUAACCAUGUGUAUCCAAGCAGCAGCCUCCAGGGCUGAAAAAUAAAGCCAACACAGAAGUGGUGAAAACUGCAGAUCCUGGUGCUGCCAAAUGAAGCUGGCUCAGAGAGCAGUCAAUCCCCACAGAUCUGUUUUUAAAAGUCCAACACAGAGCACAGUGAAACAUUUUUACAGCCUUGUACCAGAAUGUGUUUGUCUCAGUAGCUCAGUUACCCGCUCAUACCAAAUGACUGGUUGUUAAUUUAACUCACUCAUUGGAAUUAUACCGUGGUUCAAAGGGAUGCAUAAUAAACACAUGGCUGCUUUCAGAGACAGGUGGGUGACGCUAGUCUUCUGCCAGGAGUCACCUCCAUUAAUUUAAAGUGCUUCAGUUGACCUUGGUGUCCAACCCCUCUCAUCUAAAUAUGGUCACUUAUGACCCCCCAGAAAACCAGACAGCUGCAGCUGAGAGGUCUUACUCACGACUUCAGAAUAGUGGUCCACAACUAAUGAAUGAACCAGUAACUGCCUGGAUUUAUUCAAGUAUAAAACUGUAUAUUUUUUAUCACUAUUUUGGGGCAUUUUUGCCUUUCUUAUGGAAUAGCUUGAGGGAGACAAGAAAUGUGGGGAGAAAGGAGAGGGGUUGCCAUAAACCACAUCAUGCCAGCUUGGAGAAUCCAUCCUGAUAACAAAUUUUUGUGUUUUUUUUCUUCAUCUGUCAAGGUUUUUUUCUUUGCUCAGCUUCCAAGUAAUGCAUCCAUGCUGUUCAACUUCCAGCUCAAAGCCUGGCGUGAAACCACUGGAGCGUGUGCAGAAUGCUUAGACCAGUUUCAGUCUGAUUUAUCUGUAUGCAUGGAAGAGAAACGCCAACCAGAGUUAUCUAGG
RNAcentral lists this long non-coding RNA (6528 nucleotides) under Xyrichtys novacula (pearly razorfish). Lineage: Eukaryota; Metazoa; Chordata; Actinopteri; Labriformes; Labridae. The record is from RNAcentral.